RNAcentral lists this ribosomal RNA (1452 nucleotides) under Benthodytes marianensis. RNAcentral describes it as "16S ribosomal RNA". The stretch from base 733 to 1452 matches the Rfam family "Archaeal large subunit ribosomal RNA", at positions 1423 to 2860 of the family's 2987-position model. Lineage: Eukaryota; Metazoa; Echinodermata; Holothuroidea; Elasipodida; Psychropotidae. The record is from RNAcentral.
ACUAUUAAAUUAUAUUUUUCAUUUUUACUAUUUAAUUCUUUAUAUAAAGAAUUAAAUUUAAUCUUAUAAAUCUUUUGUUCAAUUUAAUUUAAAUAAAUACCCUUAUCAAAGUACUGUGAAGGAAAUAUGAAAUAUAAUGAAAAAUAAAACAAUUAAAGGAGAUUUUCUUACCUUUAGUAUUAUGGAUUUUCAAGUAUAUUUGAAUCGUUUUUCGUUUCCCGAAAUUCAGGGAGCUAACCCCCUUUUCUUAAAGAGAUUAAGGAAAACUGUUGCAAAAGUUACCCUAAAAAGAGGGUUAGAAAUUAAAUGUUUACCGUCCUGAUUGAUAUCUGGUUUCCAAAGAAAAUAAUAUUAGUUACUUUCUUUAUCUAUUAAUAUAAUUUUAUGUUCUAGCGAAAGAAUAGAAGAAAAAAGGAGAUAAAUUCUUUUUUCAAAAAGGAAACAACCUUAAAAUUAGAAAAGGACAAAAUUUUUUCAAGAAAGAGUUUAUUGUAGGCCUAAAAGCUGCCACCUUUUAAGAAAGCGUUAAAGCUCAUUACUUGUUUACUAAAAUUUAUGAAUUCUCAUCCAUUUCUAUAUAAUUUUGUAUUUGGAAAUAAUUAUGAAAAUAUUAGUAAGAUUUUAUUACAAUUUAUACUAAAAGUUUAAUUUAAUCAAAAUAACCUUGGUUUAAAAAAAUUAUCUUUCAAGAAUGAAUUUUUUACUUUUGUACUUACAACUCAGUUUAGUUUUUAUAAAUUGAAUUAAGGUAUAGAAAGGAACUCGGCAAAAAAGAAAGUGACUGUUUACCAAAAACAUAGCUUCUUGUAUUUAUAAGAAGUUAAGCCUGCCCGGUGAUUAUUUUUAACGGCCGCGGUAUCUUAACCGUGCUAAGGUAGCAUAAUAAUUUGUUUUUUAAAUGGAAACUAGUAUGAAUGGCCCUUCAUUUUCUAACUGUCUCUCUAUAUCCUCUCUUAAAUUUCUACCCCCGUGAAGAAGCGGGGAUUUCUUAGUAAGACGAAAAGACCCUGUCGAGCUUCAGCUAAUAAAGGGUACUAUUUAAACUUUUAUUUGUUUAUUUAACCAUUUUAAGCUUUGGUUGGGGCAACCAUGGAGUAAUUUUACCCUCCAGUUAAAAAGUUGAAUUUUAUUCUCUUUAUUAUUUAAUGAACCAAACUAUUUUGGUAAUCAGAAAAAGUUACCGCAGGGAUAACAGCGUAAUCUUCUUUGAGAGCCCUUAUUGACAAGAAGGUUUGCGACCUCGAUGUUGGAUUGGGGCAACCAAAAAGUGCAGCCGCUUUUUAAGGUUGGACUGUUCGUCCAUUAAAGCCCUACAUGAUCUGAGUUCAGACCGACGUGAGUCAGGUUAGUUUCUAUCUACUUUAUUAAUUUUUUUAGUACGAAAGGACCAAAAAAUUCUCUUCAAUGGAAACUCUAAAAGAGAUACACUUAUUAAAUAUUUUAAUUAAAAUU